Molecule: ribosomal RNA, 497 nt
Filed under: uncultured bacterium
Lineage: Bacteria
Description: partial 16S ribosomal RNA
Rfam family: Bacterial small subunit ribosomal RNA
Source: RNAcentral
GAUGAACGCUGGCGGCGUGCCUAAUACAUGCAAGUCGAGCGAACAGACGAGGAGCUUGCUCCUCUGACGUUAGCGGCGGACGGGUGAGUAACACGUGGAUAACCUACCUAUAAGACUGGGAUAACUUCGGGAAACCGGAGCUAAUACCGGAUAAUAUAUUGAACCGCAUGGUUCAAUAGUGAAAGACGGUUUUGCUGUCACUUAUAGAUGGAUCCGCGCCGCAUUAGCUAGUUGGUAAGGUAACGGCUUACCAAGGCGACGAUGCGUAGCCGACCUGAGAGGGUGAUCGGCCAAACUGGAACUGAGACACGGUCCAGACUCCUACGGGAGGCAGCAGUAGGGAAUCUUCCGCAAUGGGCGAAAGCCUGACGGAGCAACGCCGCGUGAGUGAUGAAGGUCUUCGGAUCGUAAAACUCUGUUAUUGGGGAAGAACAAAUGUGUAAGUAACUAUGCACGUCUUGACGGUACCUAAUCAGAAAGCCACGGCUAACUACGUG